UUUCUUUCCAGCUUCUCAAAAGAGAUAUACACAGAAAGAGACGGGAGAAAAGAGAUGCGAAAGAAAGCAGAGAGAAAAAGAGAGAGAGAGAUCCGGAGCCGGCGAAUCUCCGGCAACCGGCCCCACCCGUGCUCGCCUCCCACCCACAGAAACGAAGUCGCCGAGUCUAGGUUUCCCGGCUAGGGUUCCGAUCAAGUUCUGGCAAUUUCCGGUUACCUCCGGUGAGGUUCCGGUGCGGUUCCGGAGAAUAUUUCGGUGCCGCUCAGUCUUUGUUGUUCGCUAUCACACUUCACCUCAGACUUCGUCUUGGACGUUUCAUGUAGAUAGCACACUCCACCAUCAAACUACCAUUCAAUAAUGAAGUACAUAUGCAGUGAAUCUUUAUUACUAAAAGAUAAGCUAUAAAGUGUCAUGUAGAUGUCUGUCUGAGACUCUGAAGUGUGUCUAGAGACGCCUCAGCGCAAGGCGAAGCACACAUCGGCUCACUUCCGAAGCUAGAAGAAAACAUAAAACCAAGGGCAAUACUACUUCUGCAGGUUAUUUUAACAUUUAUUCUGAAGUGUGUCUAGAGACGCCUCAGCACAAGGUGAAGCACAGAUCGGCUCACUUCCGAAGCUAGAAGAAAACAUAAAACCAAGGGCAAUACGACUUCUACAGGUGGUGGAAUUGAAUCCAUGGGGUUAGAAUCUGGACUCGGGUUUGUGCCCGAAGGCUUAGAUAUUAGCUCCAACUCCAACUUCGGAAGACGGGUCAAAUGGGUAAAAGUUAUUUCUAGCAGACGGGUAUGUUGAAUUCACCACCGAGAUGUCCGCGUCUGAGGUUUGAUCAGAGGUAUCUCUAUUCAGACUGUUGAAUAACUAUGAGGAUGAUAUUCUUGAUUGAAUUGCAACAGUGGACUUGAUAGAAACGCAUUGGAGGAUGGGGUUCCACCAACACUGAACCAACUCACAAGUCUUGGCGAGUUGUGGAUAAAAUUUUGUAUUCUUUUACAAACAUAUUUGACUUUGACUUUGAUUAUUACUUGAGCUUUGAUCUUUUGCUCUUCUUGUCAUAACAUGAUCAACAUUAUGAAAUUUGGAUCACUUAAAAGGAGGCUACCAGAAACCUUAUUCAAUCUAUCUGGCAUUCUACAAGUGUAAGAACAACUAAAAGUCUAAAACCAUCUGUAGAUUAUCAACUCGAAAUGCCAAUGUGGAGGCAAUGGAAGGUAUACAGGGGAUAGUAUUAGCGACUCGAAGAAAACUAGGUAUCCAGACACACGAAGCAAAUGGAAAUGAAGAAAAUUACUUUUCGAUCUAUGUAUAAGCGGAAGACUGUAUAUAUUAAAACCUAUGUGUUUGUCUUAAACGUCCCAUUGAAACAUAUCAACAUCCCUUCGUAUCAACUUCAUUAGUGUAAAAGGUUCAACUUCAUUAGUGCAAAUAAGAUUUCAAACCGAGAAUUAUUUGGUUUAGCGCGCCGUAACGCGCGUAAGGGUAUAACACUAGUUAUCUAUAAUACAAUUAGCAGGUGAAUAGUAUUGGGCCAUGGGCUCAAAUUAUUCAUCAUCCAAUCCAAUUUGUCUAUUUAUUUUAUUUUCAUUUCGAUUCAAAAAGGGUGCUUUAAUUUUUUUCUAUUAAUUGAAUUUUCUUUUUGUUUUCACUUGGAUUCAUUUUGUUUUCACUUGGAUUUAUUAGGUGCUUUGAUUUUUUUAUUACUUUAUUGUUUAUAAUAAUUAUAUAUUAUAAUUUUGCAACAUGUUUAUGCAUUGUGGAUUUGUACUUUAAGCUUUGGUUGUGUUUUUUGUUUUGUUUGUUGUAUUGUUUCUUUUAUUGGUUGUACAUCAUUACGUGUUUUAAUCUGCUUAGGAGCAUUUAGGUUUUAAAGGUUUAGUUUUAUUGUGAUAAUGCCGCGUGGUGGCUGAUGCAUAACAAGGUAAACACGUGUCCCUCUCCUUUCUUUUUUUUAUAUGAAAACCAAGAAAGACCACCAAACUCUUACCAGAAUUCCUUUUCCUCUUCUUCUUCAAAGAAUGAGAGAAGAUUCCAGAGACAGAGCGAGAGACGGGUAACACCACCAUUGCAUGAUGCUUUACAGUACACGACAGAGAGACCAAGCGGCGAGAGAGAGAGAGAGAGAGAGAGACAGAAAGGAGGGGUUGGAGAGACGACGGGGGCACAGUGAUGGCGGUGUCGUUGAGGGUUCUGUGGACUUUUUCCGAUCUCUUCAUCUGGUGGUGUGCUUUUUGAUUGAUUAGAUCUUGCCGCUGUUGUUACAUUUCUUCCGGCGAGUUCUCCGGCGAAGGUCUGUAUAUACCGAAACUUUUCUCUUAAUCGAUCUCAUUUUGUUUCGAUUCAUGUGUUUGUUCGGUAAAAGGUAGACAAUAACUUGGAGAUUUUUCAAUUUGAUGCCGCCUGCUACUCCGGUUUAUUUAAGUUUGUUUGUAUGUACGGUUGGAUUUAGGCAACUGUUUUACAGGUUUUAUGUCACUUUGCUCACUAUAUUUGACUUUAAAAUUCAAUUAUUAUAUUGAUUUGAUUUGCAAUAAAUUUUCUUCAGUUUAAAGUUAUAUGAGCAAAAUAAUUUGAUGUAGGGUUUAGUUUAUAGUUGAGCUUAGGUAUGGAAGAUGGGAGAGCAUCAAGACAGAGUUCUUCAACUACCUAUGCCACAAUGAUUGUGAAGAUAGCGAUGAUCAUGGCUUGAAAAAACAUCGAAUUGAGUGAGUGGAAUUUAAGAUGACCUCAUCAGAUGUUGUGUAAGAGUAACGGAUUAAGGAAACAAAGUAGCGGGUGUGACAUCCUUCGGGUUCCGUUGAUGAAUUAGUCAUUGUUCUUGACGCAAGCCCUAAUUUUGAGUUUUGUUUACGUUUCGUGUUUUAGUAUGUUUUCCUUUAGUUUCUCAUAUGACACUGCGCAUUUUUUAGCAAGUCAGUUAGUUGCCAAUCUGUAGCAGAGCUUUUUAAGGCCAUUUGGUAUUUACACCAUUUUCUCCUGUUUAUCAAUCUACAGGUACUAAGGAGGCAUGCUGUGAAUAUUUAUCUGAUAGCCCUUUUGAAUGGUGGCACAAGGUGCUUGCUUCUUAUUCAUGCGGGAUGGAAGAGUGAGCAAUCUUUUCCUCAAAUGGUUCACAGCAUAUAUAUGGAGGUAGCAAGAAUGGCUUUAUAAAUAUAUGGAUCUACGUGGUGGAGGAUCAUUAGUUUCUUUUCAAAAUUACAAGGAGUGGCAUCAGGUUUUCUCGACACUCCGAUCGGGCAAAUACUGGAGAGGCUGCAAGCACUUGGAAUUUUCUGAACCUAGAACCAUCCAUAUUUAGCCGGCUAUUGCUGAAUUUGUUUAUUAGUCUUUGCAGAUGCUCACGUUUUGCAGAGAUGAUGAUGAUGGGGAGAUGGUUUCAAAGAAAAAGAACCCAUGAAGAGAUUGUGAACUUGGAGAAGAAGCAUUGAGAAGGGCGGGCAAUACUUGAAGUGUAUUUUAGAAGGCGAAGUAUAGUGGUAGUGUUAAAAAAACACAGGUUUGGGUUGAAACACUUUGGCAUAAUCUGUUGGGCAUGAAAGCUGGCUAGACUUUAAUUUUUUUUUUUUAUGGAUAUUACAUAACAUUUAUGGAUUUUGUAUAGUAAACUCUUAAAACAGAGUGUUAUUUUCAAUUUCAAACAUGCUA
RNA transcript from Helianthus annuus (common sunflower), 3638 nucleotides. RefSeq lists it as uncharacterized. NCBI's taxonomy places the organism in Eukaryota, Viridiplantae, Streptophyta, Magnoliopsida, Asterales, Asteraceae. The transcript has 9 exons. The record is from RefSeq and is a predicted model, not a curated record.